This 558-nucleotide ribosomal RNA is filed under the name Salmonella enterica subsp. enterica serovar Kentucky. Its description in RNAcentral is "bacterial LSU rRNA". It matches the Rfam family "Bacterial large subunit ribosomal RNA", at positions 963 to 1525 of the family's 2925-position model. Lineage: Bacteria; Pseudomonadati; Pseudomonadota; Gammaproteobacteria; Enterobacterales; Enterobacteriaceae. The record is from RNAcentral.
CCGGAGAAUGUUAUCACGGGAGACACACGGCGGGUGCUAACGUCCGUCGUGAAGAGGGAAACAACCCAGACCGCCAGCUAAGGUCCCAAAGUCAUGGUUAAGUGGGAAACGAUGUGGGAAGGCCCAGACAGCCAGGAUGUUGGCUUAGAAGCAGCCAUCAUUUAAAGAAAGCGUAAUAGCUCACUGGUCGAGUCGGCCUGCGCGGAAGAUGUAACGGGGCUAAACCAUGCACCGAAGCUGCGGCAGCGACYCUGUGRGUUGUUGGGUAGGGGAGCGUUCUGUAAGCCUGRGAAGGUGUSRCGUGAGGSAUGCUGGAGGUAUCAGAAGUGCGAAUGCUGACAUAAGUAACGAUAAAGCGGGUGAAAAGCCCGCUCGCCGGAAGACCAAGGGUUCCUGUCCAACGUUAAUCGGGGCAGGGUGAGUCGACCCCUAAGGCGAGGCCGAAAGGCGUAGUCGAUGGGAAACYGGUUAAUAUUCCCGUACUUGGUGUUACUGCGAAGGGGGGACGGAGAAGGCUAUGUUGGCCGGGCGACGGUUGUCCCGGUUUAAGCGUGUAGG